AGAGCGCGCCAGAGGCAGAGAGGAGGCAACGAAGGAGCAGCUCUGCUCCCGACUCUCCAUCCCAGAGAAGUCCGAGAGGAAGAAGACCGAGAGAAGUCCACGGUCCCGCCCGGCCGCUGCAUCCCAUAAGCUGCCUGAAGUGACAACCAAGACGUCCGCCGCGAGGUCAAGAGGACAUGAUGAGCCAUGAAGAUGUUGGUUGAACCUCAGACAACAAGACUUAACACAUGGGAUCCUUCGGGAGUUGACGCACAGACCUGCGACAUGGGGAGCCUGAACCCUUCCGGUCAUCUUCCCCCAACACAAGAGGAUGUGUUUCAGAUAACCCAGUGGGCAGAACAGCACACACCAACGUGAACCCUCGCUCAUCUCAAAGUUGCUGUAUAAAACUGGAGCUGGACAGCUCUCCAAAAAAGAGAUCAGGAGGAGCGGAUACCACAAUUAAAACGAAACAACUUACAGAGGUAGGUCAUCUAUGUUGUUUGUUAAUACGCCGAAUGUGAAGGGACCAUCUCUCCUCCAAGAGUGACAACAUACAGAAAGUGUGAGCAGAAUGUAUCACCCAUCAAUCCCGCUGUCAAUAAAAAUGUCACCAAAUUCUAUACAUGUUCUAUUUAGAAAUAUGUUGUUGCUGUCCUGUGAAAACCCUGAAUCUCCAAGAUGACUUGUGCUAAGCUUUGUAAUGUUUAUAUUUCUUCAAGUAACACGGUUUCGCUUUGGGUUAGAAAUCUGUUGUGUCUUGGUCUGCCAUAGAAAUGCAAGUUCAAUAUUUGGUCAACUUUUAUCUCUGUUUUAGUCUCCACCCGGUCCAUAGACUAAUAUGUUGCUGCUAGAUGCUGCAACACGUCCAUCCGCUGGUUGCUGUGUAUGUCUGCAGUUCUGUAUGCAGUUAGUGUUAAAUCGGUUGGCAAUUUUCGUUAUUCUCUGGAUAGCACUACAUAUUUGUUUUGUUAUUUUUGUCAUUUCACAUGAACACCUGUUUUUUAGUCAUCCGUUUCACAUGAGCUCUUUGUAAGGACUCUGCUUAAUUAGACCAACACUGUUCUUGUAAAGCUUUCAACACCAACCUGAAAAUGGAACUCAGCUCAGGGCAAAUCUCUGUUCAAUCAUAAAUUAGGUCCAGAACAAGUCAAAAGGGCCUAUAAUGGUAUUCAUCAGCACUAACUUUCUGCCUGAAAUAAACUUGGCACCAACCAAUUAAAAAAGAUAUUGAAAUGAUCCUGCGCGUGCUUUGUCUGGUUGGUGCUGUGGGAAUUGGGUUUAAAUGUCAUCCUUCUGUUUCUAUUCGCUGUAAAACAGCCUCCUGCUUUUCUCCUCCUGAGCAGAGACUGAUUAAUUUCUAAAUGUGUAGUUGUUGUAAACCCAGAACUGAAUAAUUAAUCCCGGGAUAUUACGACAAAUUGACCAAUGCUUGCAAUCGUGUGACAUUAUAUAUUUGUCGAUAUGAGGGGCAUAAUUAUUCAAGGUGGAAUUGCAUUUGAUAUGGUCUACUAAGGCUUAAUGAUUUAUUCACAGCUGUAAAUUGUUAUGAUCUAAAAUUCAUCGGGGUGGAAUGGAAAGUUUCUUUUGCUUGCAUUUUUGGAUGAAUUUAUAUUUCAGGUUCUCACUUCAACAUAUUCUCUUAAAGAGAGGAAGUCAAAAAGAAUAGUCGAGCAGCAAAGACACGUGAGAGGAAGCUGAGAGGAUUCGAUUCAGGAACAGUAGGGGGUCCAUGGAAAUCUAAAAGUUCCCAUUCAAUCAUCAUCGUAUCUAUGAGACAGAGCCUGAAUUAUUUAAAACAGCUUAGCAUAUGAAGAGGAAGUUAUGUUUCAACACAUUGUGGCCAUCCGCUGUUUCACCCGAGAUUGUGUUCUCAUUUUGAUUGUGCUGUAACCCUCAUAUCCUCAACGUGUUUGGCGAAAACAGUUUGGGGAUUUAUAUAACUAGGUCCUCACGUUAUGGAACUUGAUUGAGCUGUACAAGGUCGCAUAAUCCUCAAGUUUAGGUAAAAACAUACAAAAUGUCAGAAAUGGAGAAAUGGGACUUUCAUCUGACAGCUGCAAUAAUGAAGCAUGUUUGUGUACAGUAUGUGUAUGAGUGCUUAGCUACUGUAUCCACCUCCCUCAGGCUGCACUUCAGUAAUAAAUAAUGCUCUUUAGUGUUCUCUGCUUCAUUUGUUUUCUGUUGUAACGUCAGUGCUGCUCAAUAAAUUAUAAAUCAAGCCUGUUCAACCUGCCGCACAUCUCUCGUUUCAUUAGCCCUUUUUGUGUGUGUUUUCUAUUGCCACUUCCAGGCACACCCGAAGUGUACACACCAAAACUCACAAGAGCUUUCACUGGAUUGGAUUCCGAACACAUGUAGCUAAGUAUAGUACAAAUGGCUAGAG
Molecule: long non-coding RNA, 2365 nt
Organism: Gasterosteus aculeatus aculeatus (three-spined stickleback)
Lineage: Eukaryota; Metazoa; Chordata; Actinopteri; Perciformes; Gasterosteidae
Source: Ensembl